UACAGAGGGUGCAAGCGUUAAUCGGAAUUACUGGGCGUAAAGCGCGCGUAGGUGGUUUGUUAAGUUGAAUGUGAAAUCCCCGGGCUCAACCUGGGAACUGCAUCCAAAACUGGCAAGCUAGAGUAUGGUAGAGGGUAGUGGAAUUUCCUGUGUAGCGGUGAAAUGCGUAGAUAUAGGAAGGAACACCAGUGGCGAAGGCGGCUACCUGGACCAACACUGACACUGAGGUGCGAAAGCGUGGGGAGCAAACAGG
Molecule: ribosomal RNA, 253 nt
Filed under: uncultured microorganism
Description: partial 16S ribosomal RNA
Rfam family: Bacterial small subunit ribosomal RNA
Source: RNAcentral